CGCUCUGUUGUUUAUCGUGAUUUGUAUAAUAUUGUUGCAGUUCAAACAUUUUGGGGACAAGGUUAUUGUUGAGGAACAAGUAGAGAGGAUGAUGAGUGAGUAUGCUGUGGAACCAAUAAAUGAUCGAAUUAGUGAAUUCAAUGUGGAAUUCCAUGGUCCAAAAGAAAGUAUUGCUGAGGGAAUAGUUGAUAUGAUCGUGUAGUGAUAUUGGGAGCUAAACUAAGAUUGUUCUUUUAUUUUUUAUUUUAUUUUAUUUUUUAUUUUUUUUGAGGACUUGAAUCUAUUAGUACUUUGUAUAAAUAUUUUAGGGAUGGUUGAUGGAUAUUUG
This is a non-coding RNA of Camellia sinensis, 328 nucleotides long. Lineage: Eukaryota; Viridiplantae; Streptophyta; Magnoliopsida; Ericales; Theaceae. The record is from RefSeq and is a predicted model, not a curated record.